Non-coding RNA from Paramuricea clavata, 242 nucleotides. NCBI's taxonomy places the organism in Eukaryota, Metazoa, Cnidaria, Anthozoa, Malacalcyonacea, Plexauridae. The record is from the annotation of a GenBank genome assembly.
CGCGAGACUUUCGGAGAGCGUUAAAAUACACGAGCCGCAGGCGAGUGUAUUUUUACGCUUUCCGAAAGUCGAGCAACAUCCCAAGUGCAUGGAUCACGCUAUCCUGCUUGGAAAACCAUUUGGUAAUUGUUUUAUAAAAUAACUACAGUGAAACAAUGACAUUUUGUGAAUCCCGCGAAGGCAUUUUAAUUCCUCGUGCAGGAUAGCCUGAUCCUGCACGGCUAUUGACCAAUCAAAUUGCG